UUUUCUUCAAAUUACACUGAGUAAAUAUGAAUUUACUCUGCAAAUUGAGUCAAAGUUAAAGACCAUUCACACUGAAGCAAUCAGAAGUGAGUAGUAAAUAUUUGCUCCAACCUCUAUUCAGCUACAAAUCAAAUCCACCCAAGUCGUUUAGCAAUUUCUCCAUAAAUCAUGAUCUGGCCUUCACAACUCAAACGCAUUUUCCGCUCUAGUGAUAACUUUUUUAUGACCGUAAAUGGGCCUUAAAAUGUGUGUCUGACAUUUUAUUUACUCUCGGUGUUUGUCGUCGCCAUUCGAACAAUGCUUUCAGGGGUGCGAAAUUGGUUCGCUCUAACAAACGAUUUGAAAUGUCAAGUUCGGGUCAAUGAUGACACAUUGUGUACAUUUUCCGAACUUGUCAAAUAUGGAAAACAACGUUAAGGGUAUAGUCUUCACUAUUUCAUCUAUUCCGCGAAAACUCGUGUCUACCAGCGUAAUUGCAAACCAUUUCGCAUUUCUCGGGCUCGGUGGCUUAUGUAAGCAAUCUCUGUUGUAUAUCCUGAAGCAUAAUUCUCGACUCAUUUCAUGCCGUACAACCUUUGCUAUAUUUACUUCGAAGUCUCAAGUACUUCCCCGGGAGUGAAACAUAUUUAAUAAAUUCGUUCAGCCAAUGUUCGUUUUUCUCGAAAUUAGACUUUUUUGUAGCUGUAAUGAAACAAUUUAUUUCUUAGAAGGUUGUCAAAGCGCCAAGGUUUUUACCUCAGCAGCAUUUUUUUUGCUCUCUAAACGUAGUAUAUGUAGAAACAGCCCGAGAAUUGAAGGAAAGAUAAGAUUAUCCUUCAUUCAUAAAAUUCAAUUCGUUACAAACAAUUUACCCCAAAGAUUUUUAUAAAUUAUUUGAUAACCAUCCACUCUUACCAUAAAAUAUAAUUUCUUCAUUUCUACAUAUUAAAUUGCCUAUAACUGUUAAGUAAAAUUGGUUUCGUUAACAAUCCAAGGUUUUUAUAAAAACUGGCCGGUUUUAAAAUAUAACGAAAAGAUAAAGCAUUUCAGAUUAAUUACUUUUUCCUUUUUGAUAAUUUGAUCAAAUUGAUGCGGUCCUGUGCAAAUACAUUUUCAAUUCCCCAAGCAUUCUAAAUGGGUUCCGAAUCUGGACUACACGGUAGCCAAUCCAUAACAGGAUAUUACAGGCCGCUAGAAAAUUUCUGGUGGUACUGACUACAUGAAAUAGAGCGUUAUCUCGGAGAAAAAAUAUAUUUUUGACCUACUCUAGUGAAAGCAAUCAAAAGCUCCUCCACCAAUUCGCAUCCGGAAUUCAAUCUUACUACAUAAUAAAAAGAAGCUUUAAGCUCCCUACGAAAUUGUGAGAUUAUCUCGUAGGGUUCUUCUUUCUUUUAUCUUGCAAACAGUUUUAAACCAUCAUCUAAAAACCGUCGUAGACCAUUCUUCAUCGCAGAGUUCGUAUUUCUAAGUAAAAUUUCAUUCAAACCUUCUUAUGUCGUGACUCGUGAACAAUGUCGCGGUACAAGAACUGUUUUCCUGUAUGAAAGGUUCGUGGCAGAGCUUAAAACUUGUUUGCUGCUAUGUUCAUUAUAGAAAGCUUAAAUUAAACUACGAGACGCUUGAUCUGUUAACCGCGGAAGUCAACCAGGACGCUUCUUUGUGGUGUUUUGAGCACCCAACCGGAUGUAAUUUAUAACGGCCUCUACUCCUUUUCGUUGUAUGAGCUAUCUUGCGGAGAGUAAACUCUACUUCCUUUAAAACUUUGAUUUUACCAAGCUCUCACUGAAAAUAUUUUUUCGUUAUUCCACUCAUGCACAUUUCGUAAACAAGAAAUUCGUAGAUUGUACAGCACUUUUGUUAAUUGUAUAUAACGUUCGUAUUACAAGUUAUCGAUUGGAAUUGCAACAUUACGCAUGAUUUGUAUAAUUCACGAAUGUACUUUCGUACGAACAUGGAUAGCAACGAUAAUUAUACGAAAACUUUCGUUCAUAAUACCUACAUAUACUAGCAGCACUUAUUCCAUUACAGAGCGUUCAUUCAUUUCGUCGCCAUUGUUUAAUUCGGUUGAUAGAAAAACGGUUGUUAGGUGUUUUUUGAUAUUCAGUGCAAAAAAUCAUCGUUCCGGAGAUUAAAAGCUGUUAAUACCAGCAGAAUUCAAGCAGGGAAUAAAACCUUGGUAAGUUGUUACGAUUUUUUGGUCCAAUCCUAAUCCAUUCGAAUAGCAUAGAAAAGUUGCGUCAUUCAAGAUCAUCAGUGUUGUGAUUGUCUACCAAAUUUUCUGUCAUGCCAAGAUUAAAUUUAACAUACAUUCGAAUUUCAGGCUAGUAGAAACAUAGGUACCUCGCUCUAAAAUACGAAAAACAAACAUAGUGUGUGCAUCUCAGCUUAUAGAGAAAAAAUGAAUUUCUUUGUAUGUGGUAUUCACUUUGAUUCUAUUCCAUUCAUGAGAAAACAUUUUCGCCUGUUUCAUGAUCUACCUGAAAAACAUAAUUAUCAAUGCACAUUUCAUGGUCGAUGCAACACUUUGCUCGGAAGCCUGAGUUCAUUAACACGUCACUACAAAGAUCACAUUGAAGCACAAUCCACUAAUCAUCCAAAUAAUGAAAUUGAUACUCUGAAUCACCCAGCUCUGACUUUACAUAGUACUGCAUUCUUCGAUCCAUUACCUUCAUCUAUUUCACAAGAAAACCAACAUACAUUCAAAUCGACGCCAGUAUCAGAUACCUAUCACUCAUCUAUGUUGUCUUCGGGAGACUUCCUCUACGAUAAUGCUUCAGUUGAUGAGUGUGGUGUGAAAUUUACACUCAACCUCCACAAUAACAACAAUUUUUCACGAACAGACGUUUUGAACAUCCAAAAAAGUGUUAUAAAAGACAUUGUUAAUCCGAUUGUUGGCUCCGUUAACACAUUUUUAACUCAGUACUGCAACACAAACGAUCUGGAAAAUCGCUUACGAUUAACAUCACUUAUUCAUGAAAUUUCAAAUCCGUUCUACAAAUGUGAAAAUGAGCAACAAUUGUUCAGUUGGCUUCUACAAAGUGACAACGUCUGCGAUUACGAAGUAUUCGAAAUUAACAAAGAGAUUGCUGAACGAUACCGACGAGGAGAACUUGUCUAUGAUGAAGUUGAUGUAACGGGAGUUUUGCUACCUAUGUCAUUCCAAUUUCGAAAAGUUUUUGAAAAAAAUUCCUUGCUCCUAAAUACUCUUAGCAAUAUGAAAUCAAUCAGUGAAUCAAAUACAAAUACACAUUUCAUCAAUGGGGCAUUAUGGCGAGCAAAAAGUAAACCUUUCAUUGAUACGGGUAAAAUUGUCUUGCCGUUUUUUCUAUACAUUGAUGAUUCAGAAAUCAACAACGCCCUUGGUACACAUACUGAUCCGGUAUCAUUCGUAUAUUAUUCUUUUCCGGUUGUAGAGAACUCAGACAUCUACUUGGCAGCAGUUAUAAAAGGAAAAGACUAUAAAGAGUUCGGUAACGAAAAAUGUCUUAAUGCUUUGAUCAGGUCUAUCCGGGAUAUUGAGGAAAAUGGAAUUCUCAUAGAAACGCCUGAGGGAAAGAAACUCGUGUACUUUGUCCUAGCUCUUUUCGUUGGAGACAAUUUGGGCCUGAAUAAAGUUCUAGGAUUCACAUCAUCCUUCAACCACACAUUUUUCUGUAGAUUUUGCAAAACUCCUAAGCCCAUCACACACAUAUUGUCCACAGAUAAUCUGAGUUUAGCUCGUAAUCCUGAAAAUUAUUCUGCAGAUGUUGUAGCCAAAGAUAUCAGUUUAACAGGUGUGCAAGAACAUUGCAUAUUUAAUAACAUAAAAUCUUUCAACGUAACUACCAACUAUGCAGUAGAUUUGAUGCAUGAUGUUUUUGAAGGUGUAUGUCAUUAUGAUAUCUGUCAUGUUAUCAAUUAUUUCGUUUCAAUGAAAUAUCUAACACUUGAAACACUGAAUACACGCAAACACAUGUUCAACUAUGGAGAAAUAGAAAUUGACCACGUAUCUCCUGAAAUUACACAAAAUCAUUUGAAUAAGUUCCGUUUAAAAAUGACUGCAAGAGAGAUGAUGUGUUUUAUACAUCUGUUUCCUUUAAUGGUCGGUGACCUUAUUCCGGACGAUGAUGAUGUAUGGUCCUUUAUUCUGAAAUUCCUAGAGCUGAUUGACAUUCUUCUCUGUUUUGAAAUUUCAUGCGAUUUAGCAGAACGACUGCGUAUUUUAAUUACCGAACACCAUCAAGAUUACGUUCGACUCUUCAGAGAUACCUUGAAGCCAAAACACCAUAUGCUUCUACAUUAUUAUUAAGUGAUUUUGCAGUCAGGUCCUCCAAGGCAUUACUGGUCUUUUCGUUUUGAAGCGAAGCAUAAGGAAUUCAAAACGUACGCUCGUAAUAUAACUAGCCGCAAGAACAUAUGCAUCUCCAUAGCGAAAAAGUAUCAACUGAAAUUUGCUCAUUUUAUAAAUGAGCCUGUUAAGCCAGUAUACAUCGUACAGUCUCAUCAUGCUAUCAUCACAACACAUUUUGAUUUGAUACAAGCGUUCUGCAAGAAACAAAAUUUUGAUGGAAACAUUUUCCGUUGUUAUUCCAAAUGUGUGUAUAAGUCCAAAAAGUAUAAACAGGGAUAUUUUGUGUGUCAAUAUUUGGAUGCAACUUCUGUCGAAAAUGUGGUAGUUUUCGAAAUAAAUGAGGUAAUUUUAUUCGGUUACUCCCCAACUAUACACGUUGUUUGUAAACGAAUUGAAAUGAUAAAUUAUUAUGAGCACUACGCUGCUUAUGCAAUCGAAACGUGCAAUUCCACGAAACAAAGCAAAUACUACAUACUUAGCGUUGAUAAUCUAGCUGGCCCUCCUAUUAACCUUCAUAAAACAGCUCGGGGGUUGAACAUGAUUAGGCCGAAACAAUAUUGCUAAAUAACAUAUUCGAACAGAAAAUUGUACGUUUAUUGUACUUACAUGUCGCAAAGAAAAACUCUAACGCAUAAUGGAACACUCGGAAGAAACUAACAGUAUGGGAACGGUAGUAGUAUCAACGCAAGCCACUUCAGACGAAGAACCAUCGCAAUUUGUGAACAUAGAAGAUUUUGAACAAAUUCCGAUUAUAAGCGUUAUGAAUGUUGAAAACAAUAAUUCUACCUCAAACACGAAUGAAAACGAAACCCCCGCGGAUGAUACAUUUACGUGCCAACAACUUAUACAGAAGUAUGCAAGCUCUAAUGCCGAUAUACUUGAAUUGUAUGCGUUGCUUAAUAGCUGGAAUCUAGGAGAUCUGUUCCCGUAUUGCUGUCGUAAGUUGAAUUUAUUUUCCCGAACGUUUUUCAGACACUGUAUCAGUCUUAAUUGUUCAUUCAUAAAUAGGCCAACACUUGUACGUCGGUGUGCUGAGACAUCUUACUCCGGAAAUGGCUAUAUCAAUUUUGAACCAACCGUGUAUCCCUCUGGGGGCACAAGUUGAAUUCUAUCACCACUGGCACAACUGGAUGGAAUCUGCGCGUUCAACAAUCGACGUCGAGAAAGCCGAAUGUAAUCCUGAAAACGAUUUAACAUUACGAGCAAAUCGUCGAUGAACGAAUCAAAUUCAGCACAACAGUCCAGAGCUAUGGAAGCUCCGCUUGAUUUGAACACCAUAUUAAAGUCAAAUCAGUAUGGUUUAAAUUUGAUUGCUGCAUUCAACCGGGACAAAAUUCUCAACGAUAAUCUUCGCAAGCUGAUGUUGGAAUCCAUCCUUCAGUUCUGUAUUGAAAACAAACACGAUUUAACAGUCAAAGACUGUUCUGUAUUGGCGGCACAAAUAGUCCAGGUUUUUCCAGGAGAAGUAAUGGCGUACUACUUCGUUGAAAGGAAAAAUAGCGCACCGUUGGGUAAACUCUACCACAAAUAUCGAAACUGGAAAAGCAAUCUCAACCGCAAAUCAAGCUUAGAAAAAAGCACGAAGUCCAUAGUUGGAAAUCCUUCAAAAAGGUUUACAACUGAAAAAGACGAAAAAAUUCAUAUCCGCGCUCUGAGACAUGAAAUGGCUACCAUGAGCUACGAUGAAAAGCUUGCGCAUUGGGUGGGAUGUGCUGCAACGCGGUUGAACAUAAAUCAGAAUCAAAACAACCCGCAAUCCGCAAGCAAAAUAUUUGACCUUUGGCCACAGUUCAAAAAUCCAGAUGGCUAUAGGAUGAUCGAAGCUGAUUUUGUAUUUAUACACGGUCAGAAAAACGAAUUACUUGAUUCCCUUGACGCGUUCGUAGAUGUGAUGGUGGAGGAAAUAUUCCCGAAACAUCGUGAGUCGUUCAAGUCAUCUGAAGACAACGACAUGUUGAACAAACUUUCUGACAAAAGCAACAAUCUAUCACAAAACUCGUCAGCCGCUAUGACGUUCCGUCUUAUGCAAAUGCUACUACCUUUUUCGCGGAUUGAGAAGAAGUUAACAACAGAUCCUAAACGACGAUUCUACAGUAUUCAGGAAUCGAGAGAGGCGUUCCUAACUAUUUGCGCUACUGAAACCGAGUAUAAACAGAAAUAUGAUGAGAAAGUGAAGCGUGAGUCCUGUAUUCCACCUUUUAUGACACUUAUUGGAACUAUAGAGAACUUCCAUUCAAUCAUGGUAGACUUUGAGAACAUAACAUAUAAGUUCUACAGCUUUGCAAAGGCUGUAGAUGUAUGUUUCAAAGCAUACCAGCUGUUUAACAUUGCUUACCCACCCAAGUGUGAGCACUUGUGGGAUUUUUUGAACAGAGAAUUCUACAAAUUGGAAUACGAUGAUGCAAGAACGAAACCACAUACUUUCGUACUACUAAAUGAACUUAACGGUAAGUUUGAUAAUUCUUGAUGUUCAUAACAUAGAACUGCACAUUUUUUAAAUUUAAUUCAUGUUUUUUAGCUGCAAAAAUCAGAAGAUCUACGCAACCAGCUGCCGAUGCCUGAAUUUUCGUUUGCUAUAAUUUUAGGUUAUUUGAAACAUCUUCAACAUCCUAAAAAAUUAUAUGGAUAUGAAUAUACUUGAGUCAAAUUUACUUUAUUCAAAAUAUCAGAAUUCAUGAAAUAAAAAAAU
Molecule: RNA transcript, 6998 nt
Organism: Wyeomyia smithii (pitcher-plant mosquito)
Lineage: Eukaryota; Metazoa; Arthropoda; Insecta; Diptera; Culicidae
Exons: 4
Source: RefSeq, a predicted model, not a curated record